AUGCAGGAGAGCACCUACAACAUCUCCUUGAGCUCCACAGCAACCCAGCAGGUGCCAAGAAAAGGCCAUGCGGGCAGAGAGAAGAUGGCUCUGCACUAACCAGGAGGAGGACCCUCACCAGAGCCUAACCACCCCUGUACCCUGAUCUCAGACUUCAGUCUCCAGCACCCCACAUGGGAUUCCCCUGAAACACAGUGAGUCAAAUCAAAGAGCUCUCACCCAAAGUUCCAGAAGAAAAUAAACAAAAUGAAACCUGAGGCA
RNAcentral lists this long non-coding RNA (261 nucleotides) under Ursus maritimus (polar bear). Its description in RNAcentral is "lncRNA (ENSUMAG00000001147.1)". The record is from RNAcentral. Lineage: Eukaryota; Metazoa; Chordata; Mammalia; Carnivora; Ursidae.